Molecule: non-coding RNA, 98 nt
Organism: Periconia macrospinosa
Lineage: Eukaryota; Fungi; Ascomycota; Dothideomycetes; Pleosporales; Periconiaceae
Source: the annotation of a GenBank genome assembly
GGCGUGUUGGCGGAGUGGUCUAACGCGCUAGACUUGAAUUCAUCCGAUUCAGGCAUCUAGUUCCUUCGGGAGCGCAUGUUCGAACCAUGCACACGUCG